GUGCCAGCAGCCGCGGUAAUACGUAGGGGGCGAGCGUUGUCCGAAGUUACUGGGCGUAAAGCGCGCGUAGGCGGUCUAUUAAGUCUGAGGUGAAAGGUUCAACGCUCAACGUGAACAGUGCCUUGGAUACUGGUAGACUUGAGUGUGGCAGAGGAGUAUGGAAUUCCUGGUGUAGCGGUGAAAUGCGUAGAUAUCAGGAGGAAUACCGAUGGCGAAGGCAGUACUCUGGGCUAACACUGACGCUGAGGUGCGAAAGCGUGGGGAGCAAACGGGAUUAGAUACCCCCGUAGUCC
This 293-nucleotide ribosomal RNA is filed under the name uncultured bacterium. Its description in RNAcentral is "partial 16S ribosomal RNA". It matches the Rfam family "Bacterial small subunit ribosomal RNA", at positions 505 to 796 of the family's 1533-position model. The record is from RNAcentral.